CUUAAAAUAACAAAUCUUUGAUAACCCUGAGUCUAACUGAAGGUUUAGACAGGGGCAUAACAAGAGUAUCAGGCAGCAUUGUCUGUGGAAGGAAUGGAUUUGUGGUUUGCAGCUUUAUACAGAGCAAGUCUACUUGCUUUGCCAAGACAAUGUUUUCUUAAAUAUAGCACCCACGCACAAUGAUUUUCUGUUAGGUUGCUGAAUCAUGAUUACUGAAAUCUGAGUCAACAUUAGAAGUUUAGUUUAGCUCUUGUUUUUGACAUCUAUUCAAAGUGGCGAGAGAGACUAAAUAGCGAUAGUACUAAAAGAUCACCUGGGGAAACUGUGCAUCUACCAAUGCCUGUAUACUGGUUGCUUCAUCCCUACCUUUACAAAUACAGACAGCUAUUUUUGUGCAUCCAUGUUUUUUUGCUUGGAAGUCAUAGAGUGGAGGGA
Molecule: long non-coding RNA, 435 nt
Filed under: Anas platyrhynchos platyrhynchos (common mallard)
Lineage: Eukaryota; Metazoa; Chordata; Aves; Anseriformes; Anatidae
Description: lncRNA (ENSAPLG00000017587.1)
Source: RNAcentral